GCCUAACACAUGCAAGUCGAGCGGUAACACAGAGGAGCUUGCUCCUUGGGUGACGAGCGGCGGACGGGUGAGUAAUGCCUGGGGAUCUGCCCGAUAGAGGGGGAUAACUACGGGAAACUGUAGCUAAUACCGCAUAAUGUCUACGGACCAAAGUGGGGGCUCUUCGGACCUCAUGCUAUCGGAUGAACCCAGGUGGGAUUAGCUAGUUGGUGAGGUAAUGGCUCACCAAGGCGACGAUCUCUAACUGGUUUGAGAGAAUGACCAGUCACACUGGAACUGAGACACGGUCCAGACUCCUACGGGAGGCAGCAGUGGGGAAUAUUGCACAAUGGGCGCAAGCCUGAUGCAGCCAUGCCGCGUGUGUGAAGAAGGCCUUCGGGUUGUAAAGCACUUUCAGCGGGGAGGAAGGGUCACUAGUUAAUACCUAGUGGCAUUGACGUUACUCGCAGAAGAAGCACCGGCUAACUCCGUGCCAGCAGCCGCGGUAAUACGGAGGGUGCAAGCGUUAAUCGGAAUUACUGGGCGUAAAGCGCACGCAGGCGGUUUGUUAAGUCAGAUGUGAAAUCCCCGAGCUCAACUUGGGAACUGCAUUUGAAACUGGCAAGCUAGAGUCUUGUAGAGGGGGGUAG
This 629-nucleotide ribosomal RNA is filed under the name Plesiomonas shigelloides. RNAcentral's name for it is "bacterial SSU rRNA". It matches the Rfam family "Bacterial small subunit ribosomal RNA", at positions 46 to 664 of the family's 1533-position model. The record is from RNAcentral. Lineage: Bacteria; Pseudomonadati; Pseudomonadota; Gammaproteobacteria; Enterobacterales; Enterobacteriaceae.